GUUAAUUAUAACUCAGUAAGAAAAAGAAUAUGUUCAAAUCCUACAGCAGCCAGAUCUUUGCAAAAUUAAUAUGGGUCUCAGUUUUUACAUAUAUAAAAUAGCGAUUAUAAUGCUACAUGCAUCUCUUGGUUACACAAUUUAUAUAACCAUAGGAGGAGAUAUUUUCUAUACAAUAAAAAUUAUGUUAACACUAAAGCAGCUCCAUUGUCUGGGUAUAUACCCUGGGGUUCAUUAUCAUGCGCCAGUAAAAUUUAGGACACGGACACACACGAGGAGUUUAGGAGCAGAGGUUUAACAGGCAGAAGAGGAAGAGAAAUAGCUCUCUCUAUAGAAAGAGGGGUCUCCAAGUGGAAAGGACCAGCAGGUGGUGGAUGCACCCGAAUUUUAUAGUCAGGUUUGAGGAAGUGGUGUCUGAUUUACAUAGGACUCACAGAUUGGUUUGAUGAGGUAUGACGUUAACAUAGCAUGAGGAAGGCUGGCCACCCACCCUAAUCUUAUUAUGCAAAUGGGCUUUUCAGUUGAUCUGCACCAUCUUGUCUGCUUCUUACUGUAUAUGUAGCUGACAAAGAGAAGGGAAGAUGGAGCCACCAUCUUGAACAUGUCUAGUCCUUAGUUUCUGCCUGGCAUUCACCUGUGAAAGCUCCCAGCUUGCUUGUCUUGUGUCUGCAGCCCGACUUUACGGGCUGCUCUUUGUUAGAAAAUGAUUUUGAGCUGCUUUCAUUAAAAAGGAAAGCCUUAUCGAGGACUCCCAUACCCUUACUAUCUGCCUAAGUGAUUUCUUCUUAACUCCUAUAUCAACACUAGGUACCACUGAACUUAAGAAAGUUUAUAUACAUUUUUAUUAUUUUCAAUUGCUUGGAAAUCUCUGCAUAGUUACCAUCUUCUUCCUGCUUCCUUUGUCCUGGCUGUGGUAAUGCGUAUUGCUGCAAACCUCUUCAACACCUAUUCAGCUAAGUAGAGCUUGGUCUGGCACCUGUAGUACUCUUGAGACUUGAGGCUGCUCUGCUGUGAGGCUGAGGCCAGAGUCUGAAUGCUGGGCAGGCCACCAGGAACCGUUUUGUCUGCCUUUUCAGAAAACAAGCAUUGACUUUCUGAGCCCACUUGAAUUUCAAUAUAGACUUGUAAUAGAAAACCCUUUUUGCCCAAGGGUUGUGUCCUAAAUGGUACCUCAGGUCUUUUCAUCUUGUAUUCUCAAAAAAGAAAAAGAAGAAAACCUAAGUAAGUUGGAAGGCUCCCCUGGUGACAGAGCUUUAGCUUUCUCUUCUUCCUUUAAUUUUGAAACUGGAAACUAUUUUGAAAACAAGUUUGUGCUGAAUGCUAAUGAUUAUGUUUUACUCUAAUAUUAAGAUUUGUAGUAACAUUCUGAUGACUAGUAUUAAUGACUUUCUUUUCUUAAAAAACAAGUCCUAAUUCACUCUGCACAAUUUAAAACAAUGAUUUACAUGUAGUAGAACAAGUUUUAAAGAGACAUAUGCAAUUAUUUCUUCACAGAGUGUUAACAUUUUAAACCUAGUCAGUUUGUAAGAUAAGCCUCUCUCAAGUACUUUCUUU
This 1551-nucleotide long non-coding RNA is filed under the name Homo sapiens (human). RNAcentral's name for it is "HSALNT0019274". Lineage: Eukaryota; Metazoa; Chordata; Mammalia; Primates; Hominidae. The record is from RNAcentral.